Molecule: ribosomal RNA, 434 nt
Filed under: uncultured Lachnospiraceae bacterium
Lineage: Bacteria; Bacillati; Bacillota; Clostridia; Lachnospirales; Lachnospiraceae
Description: partial 16S ribosomal RNA
Rfam family: Bacterial small subunit ribosomal RNA
Source: RNAcentral
ACGGGAGGCAGCAGUGGGGAAUAUUGCACAAUGGGCGAAAGCCUGAUGCAGCGACGCCGCGUGAGUGAAGAAGUAUUUCGGUAUGUAAAGCUCUAUCAGCAGGGAAGAAAAUGACGGUACCUGACUAAGAAGCCCCGGCUAACUACGUGCCAGCAGCCGCGGUAAUACGUAGGGGGCAAGCGUUAUCCGGAUUUACUGGGUGUAAAGGGAGCGCAGACGGCAAGGCAAGUCUGAAGUGAAAGCUCGGGGCUCAACCCCGGAACUGCUUAGGAAACUGUUUAGCUAGAGUGCAGGAGAGGUAAGUGGAAUUCCUAGUGUAGCAGUGAAAUGCUUAGAUAUUAGGAGGAACACCAGUGGCGAAGGCGGCUUACUGGACUGUAACUGACGUUGAGGCUCGAAAGCGUGGGGAGCAAACAGGAUUAGAUACCCUGGUA